AAAAAAAACUUGUUAGAUAUUUUCUUUUUUCUUUAGCAAAUCACAGUGUAUUCGAGGACUCUCAUAUUUGUCUGCAGAAAUCAGAUUAUUGAGUUUUGCGUUUAGCUUCUGGACAGCGGUGAUGUUGGGCGCUUUAAGGAGAAAAGUUGCGACCGGAGGUUCAUCAGCUUCGGUAUUAGGGAAGUCCUUGCAGGUGAUUCGGCCGAGCGUUUCAGCAUCUAGAGUGUAUUCAAAUGUUGGAAAAGAGAUUAUGUUUCUUCAGCCGAGGGGAAUUGUCCAUGUCCGCAACUUCUCUCAUCUUGUUCUACCAGGUAAAUCUU
Long non-coding RNA from Hibiscus syriacus, 320 nucleotides. RefSeq lists it as uncharacterized. NCBI's taxonomy places the organism in Eukaryota, Viridiplantae, Streptophyta, Magnoliopsida, Malvales, Malvaceae. The transcript is spliced from 4 exons. The record is from RefSeq and is a predicted model, not a curated record.